RNAcentral lists this long non-coding RNA (1735 nucleotides) under Numida meleagris (helmeted guineafowl). RNAcentral's name for it is "lncRNA (ENSNMEG00000017466.1)". The record is from RNAcentral. Lineage: Eukaryota; Metazoa; Chordata; Aves; Galliformes; Numididae.
AUGGCGGGGGGGGGGGGUAGUUUUCUUUUUCAGCGUUUAUUAGAAACAAAAACGGGGAAAAAAAGGGGUUGUGGUGUCUGUGUUUUUCCUUUUUUUUUCUUUUUUCCUCCUUUUCUUAGAAAGAUCGUGGCGGCCGGCGGCAGCGGUGCGGGCUGGGAGGGAGGUCCUUACCUGCUGGGGGUGCCAAGCCCCCACCGCUUCCGUCCUUUACUGAGGUGCCCCUGGAGCAGCCCCGCUGGGGGCAGCGCUAUCUCUGCGAGGCACCCCCCCACAUCCCACCCCACCCUGGGGCAGGCAGCUGGGUCCUGGCGGGGCCACGCGUUAAGGCAACCGUCCUGCUGUGCCCCGCCGUGCCGUGCCGGGGGGGCUCCCUGCCGGAGUGGGGCCACUAUCGCUACGGGCUAUAUGUACACACCCCGCAGCCGAGGGGGGGCUGCCCCGGGGCUGUUUGUGCUAAGUGAUGGGUCCCACCCCCCCCAACCACAUCAGGCAGGGCUGGGGGGGGGAGCGUCCGUGCGAGCCGGCGGCGCGGCUCUAGGAGUCCUUGAGCAUGCUGAUGCGGGCGUAGAUCUUGAGGGCCGGCCCCAGUUUGAUGUUCAUGGUGCUCAUCAGGUGGUCCUCCUUCAGCAGCAGCAGCGCCUGCCCAUCGAUCUCCUGCGCACGGAACUCCUCUGCGAUCUCCUGGCAGCCUACGGGGAGGGGAACACAACACAGUCACACUCGGCACGGCCCUGAAGCUGACACAGCCUCCCCGGCACGACCUGACGCUCCUCACCUGGCAGCGAGCGGAUGAACUCGUAGACGUCCUCCACGUUCCACUUGCUGGGCUCACUGGGCAGGAAGCGGUGCCCGAUGCCCGCCAGCUCCCGCACGUGCAUGUCGGGCAGCUCCAUGUCGCGCAGCUCCAGGUCACGCUCAGCCUGGCGCCGGCGGGAGGCGGACGAGCUGGCCGAGAUGGGAGACAGCGGCUCCUCGUAGCUCGAGUUGUCCGAGCAGCGGCUCGAGUCCUCCUGGCUGUGGUUGAGCUGCAGCGACGCUGUCACCGAGAGCGGCCCCGAACCCGGCGGGAGGGACACCGGCGUCUGCGGGACGGAGCCACCGGGCAGCACCGGCCCCGCGGCUCGCUGCGUCCCCUGGGUUGGACCCACGCCCCCCCUCACCUGCUUCUUGGUGUCCUUGCUGAGCGUGGGCACUUUGCAGGCACGGCGACGGCCGUGGGGGGGGCCUCCGGGCUUCUGCAGCUUGCUGCGGUCGGGAUGGAACAGCCCCACGCGCUUGGUGCAGCCCACGUUGUACCUGCAGGCAGCAGCCGGGGGGGGGUGAGAGCGGGGCUGGGGUGGGGCUCAGGGCAGGGGGUCAGGCCCCGGUACCUCUUGGCACAUGCCAUGGAGCAGAAGCGCUUGGAGCGCUUGAACUUGUAGGCGAAGUCGACGCGGCCGCAGAGCUCGCACUUCAGCUUUGGGGGGGCCCCCUCAUCUUUGGACUCUGCCGAGAGAGCAGCGGGCAGCUGAGCCGAGGUGAGUCGAGUCCUCGCGGGGGUCCCUCCUCGGGGUCCCCCCCUCACCUUGCAAGUAGGGCUCCUCCAUCUCGGAGUCGGUGGUGGUGGUGUUGUCGUGCUGCGGGGCGCGCUCCGCCAGCAGCUCCUGCGCAUACUGCGGCUUCAGGCCCCCCACCAGCAGCGAGGAGCGCCCCACCUGCGGGCGGCGGCAUCAGCAGGGCCGGGGGACGGCGCGGG